AUAAAUAAGCGGAGGAAAAGAAACCAAACGGGAUUCCCUUAGUAACGGCGAGCGAAAAGGGAAAUGUCCAGCACCAAGUCUUGACAUCUACGGUGUUCAAGAGAUGCGGUGUUAAUGUAUCGACCCAUCGUGCACUGUUCUACAUUUCAAGUUCCUACGACCGGGACUUCCGGAGCGGGUGUAAGACCCAUAGAGAUGAGGAACCAGUGUAUGCUGAGCGAUGUAUUCUAGAGUCAGGUUGCUUGAGAGUGCAGCUUAAAGACGGUGGUAAACUCCAUCCAAGACUAAAUAUUACAGCGAGACCGAUAGCAAACAAGUACCGUGAGGGAAAGUUGCAAAGCACUUUGAAGAGAGAGUUCAAAAGUACGUGAAACCACUGGGAGGCAAACAGAUGGAACCACGAAGUGUGCGCCUCGGUCGAUUCAAUCAUCACUACUUGUCAGUUUUUGGGAGUUAGUAUCUUUUCGGAGAUUGAUUUCCAAAGACUAUGAUGGGUGGUGUUGGUGCAUUUCGUGCCGGGGAUGCAAAGCCACGUUCAACUAGAGUUGGGACGGCUGUAAGAAAGAAUCCGAGAAAGGUGCCCGUCACGUGCUUGCAUUUGACGGCGUUAUAGUCUUGGAUUGGCACCGUCGCCAAACAUACUGGUUGAUACAAAUUCUCCAAUUGGAGUGGAACCAUGUCUGCCUGUGGCUGUUAGUCGAUGUUGCGUAAUGUUCUUUGCGUAUCUUUCGAUGCGAAAAGACUUUGCAAAGAUGUCGGCUAAUGGUUGCUUGCGUGACAUGGUGGAACUGUGGCGUGAGUAGGUCGGUCUCCAUCUGACCCGUCUUGAAACACGGACCAAGGAGCCUAUCAUAUACGCGAGUCGCUCGGUCUUGUUUAGGCCUGGGAGGCGUAAUGAAAGUAAAGUUACGAUACUGUAACAGGUUGCAGUAACGGCUCGCCCACUUUGUUUAUUGGCAAUAUGGCGAAGCUGGAGCGUAUACGAUGGUACCCGAAAGAUGGUGAACUAUGCCUGGGCAAGACGAAGCCAGAGGAAACUCUGGUGGAGGUCUGUAGCGAUUCUGACGUGCAAAUCGAUCGUCAGACCUGGGUAUAGGGGCGAAAGACUAAUCGAACCAUCUAGUAGCUGGUUCCCUCCGAAGUUUCCCUCAGGAUAGCAGGCGUUUAUAUUUUGCAGUCUCAUCCGGUAAAGCUAAUGAUUAGAGGUCUUGGGGUUGAAACGACCUCAACCUAUUCUCAAACUUUAAAUGGGUGAGAUGGUUGACUUUCUUGAUUGAAGCCAACCAUUUGGAUGCAAAUGCCUAGUGGGCCAUUUUUGGUAAGCAGAACUGGCGCUGUGGGAUGAACCAAACGUCGAGAUAAGGCAUCAAAUGCGUACGCUCAUCAGACCCCAUGAAAGGUGUUGGUUGCUAUAGACAGCAGGACGGUGGCCAUGGAAGUCGGAAUCCGCUAAGGAGUGUGUAACAACUCACCUGCCGAAGCAACUAGCCCUGAAAAUGGACGAUGCUGUAGCGUGGAGCCGAUACUCGACCGUUAUGACGAUUUUUUUUGUAGAAUGCGAUGUCAUAACGAGUAGGAGGGCCGCAGUGUUAGCGUUGAAGGUGUCCGGCGUGAGCCGGCCUGGAGCUAUCAUUGUU
RNAcentral lists this ribosomal RNA (1637 nucleotides) under Proctophyllodes sp. n. AD1466. Its description in RNAcentral is "eukaryotic LSU rRNA". It matches the Rfam family "Eukaryotic large subunit ribosomal RNA", at positions 42 to 1443 of the family's 3401-position model. Lineage: Eukaryota; Metazoa; Arthropoda; Arachnida; Sarcoptiformes; Proctophyllodidae. The record is from RNAcentral.